CCGAUCCAAAAGUUUGUUCUCCUACAUUAUCAAAUUUAAUUUUAAAAAAUAAAAAUCUAUAGCAUAGAGAUUAUCUAUCUAGAACCCUCUGUAGGGCUCACUAAGGGUUUACCGUCAAAUCCUCUUAGCCAUUUCUAUGGAUCCUUUGGUCCAUAUAAGAGAAAGAAAAGAAAAUAAACUAGGGAAGAGAGAGAUAGGAGGAAGAGAGAGAAGGAAGAACCUUCUCUUCUUAUGUUCUUCUUCAAAAUAGGGGAUAUCUUCUUCUUUUCCUCUUCUCUCAAACAUAGCAGUAGAAAAUCCAAGAUUGACAACACACGAUGGUGCCUGACGAUGGUAUCGCAAUGGCCCUGAC
RNAcentral lists this long non-coding RNA (352 nucleotides) under Elaeis guineensis (African oil palm). Its description in RNAcentral is "long non-coding RNA (EGUI_LNC031524)". The record is from RNAcentral. Lineage: Eukaryota; Viridiplantae; Streptophyta; Magnoliopsida; Arecales; Arecaceae.